AAGGGCACCACAAGAACGCGUGGAGCAUGUGGCUUAAUUUGACUCAACGCGGGAAAUCUUACCGGGUCCGGACACACUGAGGAUUGACAGGUGUUUCGUAACAUUUUUUAUUAUAUAUUUAUAUAUAAUAUAUAAAUAGUUACAUAUCAAAUAUGCUAGUCCUUUCAUGAUUGUUUGAUAGGUGGUGCAUGGCCGUUCUUAGUUCGUGGAGUGAUCUGUCUGCUUAAUUGCGUUUCACUAUAUGGCUACACGUACGUUUUAUAUGUAUGUUUGACCGCCGGAAAGUAACACUUUCUGCUGCCGUGUCCAUACAUGUAUACUACGAUAGUCCCGAAGGCAACGAACGUGACCG
Molecule: ribosomal RNA, 352 nt
Filed under: Foraminifera environmental sample
Lineage: Eukaryota; Foraminifera
Description: SSU rRNA
Rfam family: Eukaryotic small subunit ribosomal RNA
Source: RNAcentral